CCUACGGGAGGCAGCAGUGAGGAAUAUUGGUCAAUGGCCGGAAGGCUGAACCAGCCAUGCCGCGUGAAGGUCAGUGCCCUAUGGGCGUUAAACUUCUUUUGUGCGGGGGCAAUAAUGGUCACGUUUGGCCAGUCGAGAGUAACGUACGAAUAAGCAUCGGCUAACUCCGUGCCAGCAGCCGCGGGAAUACGGGGGAUGCAAGCGUUAUCCGGAUUUAUUGGGUUUAAAGGGUGCGUAGGCGGCCUUUUAAGUCAGUGGUGAAAGUCUGCGGCUCAACCAUAGAAUUGCCGUUGAAACUGGGAGCCUUGAGUAGGGUUGAGGCAGGCGGAAUGCGUGGUGUAGCGGUGAAAUGCUUAGAUAUCACGCAGAACCCCGAUUGCGAAGGCAGCCUGCCAAGCCAUGACUGACGCUGAUGCACGAAAGUGUGGGGAUCAAACAGGAUUAGAUACCCCAGUAGUC
This 459-nucleotide ribosomal RNA is filed under the name uncultured bacterium. RNAcentral's name for it is "partial 16S ribosomal RNA". It matches the Rfam family "Bacterial small subunit ribosomal RNA", at positions 338 to 795 of the family's 1533-position model. The record is from RNAcentral.